RNAcentral lists this ribosomal RNA (412 nucleotides) under uncultured bacterium. Its description in RNAcentral is "bacterial SSU rRNA". It matches the Rfam family "Bacterial small subunit ribosomal RNA", at positions 505 to 916 of the family's 1533-position model. The record is from RNAcentral.
GUGCAGAAGCAUCGGUAAUACGAAGGGUGCAAGCGUUACUCGGAAUUACUGGGCGUAAAGCGUGCGUAGGCGGUUUGUUAAGUCAGAUGUGAAAGCCCCGGGCUCAACCUGGGAAUGGCAUUUGAUACUGGCGAGCUAGAGUACGGUAGAGGGUGGUGGAAUUCCCGGUGUAGCGGUGAAAUGCGUAGAGAUCGGGAGGAACAUCUGUGGCGAAGGCGGCCACCUGGGCCAGUACUGACGCUGAGGCACGAAAGCGUGGGGAGCAAACAGGAUUAGAUACCCUGGUAGUCCACGCCCUAAACGAUGCGAACUNGACGUUGGGCUCAAUUGAGAGUUCAGUGUCGAAGCUAACGCGUUAAGUUCGCCGCCUGGGGAGUACGGUCGCAAGACUGAAACUCAAAUGAAUUGACGG